GGGUUGUGAGGUUAAGCGACUAAGCGUACACGGUGGAUGCCCUGGCAGUCAGAGGCGAUGAAGGACGUGCUAAUCUGCGAUAAGCGUCGGUAAGGUGAUAUGAACCGUUAUAACCGGCGAUUUCCGAAUGGGGAAACCCAGUGUGAUUCGUCACACUAUCAUUAACUGAAUCCAUAGGUUAAUGAGGCGAACCGGGGGAACUGAAACAUCUAAGUACCCCGAGGAAAAGAAAUCAACCGAGAUUCCCCCAGUAGCGGCGAGCGAACGGGGAGGAGCCCAGAGCCUGAAUCAGUGUGUGUGUUAGUGGAAGCGUCUGGAAAGGCGCGCGAUACAGGGUGACAGCCCCGUACACAAAAAUGCACAUGCUGUGAGCUCGAUGAGUAGGGCGGGACACGUGGUAUCCUGUCUGAAUAUGGGGGGACCAUCCUCCAAGGCUAAAUACUCCUGACUGACCGAUAGUGAACCAGUACCGUGAGGGAAAGGCGAAAAGAACCCCGGCGAGGGGAGUGAAAAAGAACCUGAAACCGUGUACGUACAAGCAGUGGGAGCCUCUUUUAUGGGGUGACUGCGUACCUUUUGUAUAAUGGGUCAGCGACUUAUAUUCUGUAGCAAGGUUAACCGAAUAGGGGAGCCGAAGGGAAACCGAGUCUUAACCGGGCGUUAAGUUGCAGGGUAUAGACCCGAAACCCGGUGAUCUAGCCAUGGGCAGGUUGAAGGUUGGGUAACACUAACUGGAGGACCGAACCGACUAAUGUUGAAAAAUUAGCGGAUGACUUGUGGCUGGGGGUGAAAGGCCAAUCAAACCGGGAGAUAGCUGGUUCUCCCCGAAAGCUAUUUAGGUAGCGCCUCGUGAAUUCAUCUCCGGGGGUAGAGCACUGUUUCGGCAAGGGGGUCAUCCCGACUUACCAACCCGAUGCAAACUGCGAAUACCGGAGAAUGUUAUCACGGGAGACACACGGCGGGUGCUAACGUCCGUCGUGAAGAGGGAAACAACCCAGACCGCCAGCUAAGGUCCCAAAGUCAUGGUUAAGUGGGAAACGAUGUGGGAAGGCCCAGACAGCCAGGAUGUUGGCUUAGAAGCAGCCAUCAUUUAAAGAAAGCGUAAUAGCUCACUGGUCGAGUCGGCCUGCGCGGAAGAUGUAACGGGGCUAAACCAUGCACCGAAGCUGCGGCAGCGACACUGUGUGUUGUUGGGUAGGGGAGCGUUCUGUAAGCCUGUGAAGGUGUACUGUGAGGUAUGCUGGAGGUAUCAGAAGUGCGAAUGCUGACAUAAGUAACGAUAAAGCGGGUGAAAAGCCCGCUCGCCGGAAGACCAAGGGUUCCUGUCCAACGUUAAUCGGGGCAGGGUGAGUCGACCCCUAAGG
RNAcentral lists this ribosomal RNA (1364 nucleotides) under Escherichia coli. Its description in RNAcentral is "partial 23S ribosomal RNA". It matches the Rfam family "Bacterial large subunit ribosomal RNA", at positions 1 to 1396 of the family's 2925-position model. Lineage: Bacteria; Pseudomonadati; Pseudomonadota; Gammaproteobacteria; Enterobacterales; Enterobacteriaceae. The record is from RNAcentral.